CUGCAGAGAUGCGGGAGUGCCUUCGGGAAUCAAAACACAGGUGCUGCAUGGCUGUCGUCAGCUCGUGUCGUGAGAUGUUGGGUUAAGUCCCGCAACGAGCGCAACCCUUGUCCUUAGUUGCCAGCACGUAAUGGUGGGAACUCUAGGGAGACUGCCGGUGACAAACCGGAGGAAGGGGGGGAUGACGUCAAGUCAUCAGGGCCCUUACGGCCGGGGCUACACACUUACUACAAUGGUCGGUACAGAGGGUUGCAAUACCGCGAGGUGGAGCCAAUCCCA
This 279-nucleotide ribosomal RNA is filed under the name Dyella sp. CM49. RNAcentral describes it as "partial 16S ribosomal RNA". It matches the Rfam family "Bacterial small subunit ribosomal RNA", at positions 998 to 1276 of the family's 1533-position model. The record is from RNAcentral. Lineage: Bacteria; Pseudomonadati; Pseudomonadota; Gammaproteobacteria; Lysobacterales; Rhodanobacteraceae.